This 466-nucleotide long non-coding RNA is filed under the name Rattus norvegicus (Norway rat). RNAcentral describes it as "long non-coding RNA NONRATT001893". The record is from RNAcentral. Lineage: Eukaryota; Metazoa; Chordata; Mammalia; Rodentia; Muridae.
GAAGCACUCUGACUAGAUGGUUCUGGAAAAACUUACACUCCCAAUGCUUGACCUUGGAACUGAUCUGCAUGAUAUGGUAGCCGCCAGCCACAUGAGCUGUUUGGCUUUAAGUUAGUUAAAAUCAAAUAAAUGUAAAUUUCCGGUUCCAGCACGUUGGUCCUACUUGGAGUAUUUGAUAACUUCUGUGGGAACUGGCUACAGAGUUGACCAACAUAGAGACAGACAUUUUCCCUCAUCAUAGAAGUUUCUGUCAGACAGACUUUUCCUAUCUUAUGUCCCAAGAGGAGAACGAUUACAUCCUAUUCAUCACCAUAUUCCCAGCCCAUAGAUACAGUGCACUGUUUACAGAAAAUGCUCAAUCAAACACCCACUAAAGGAGAGAAAUCACGACAACCUGUGUUAAGUGAUCGUUCAUAAACAUUGUUCAAUUUUGAGAAUGUUUUCAAAUAAAUCUUCACAUCCGUAA